This 68-nucleotide transfer RNA is filed under the name Squilla mantis. RNAcentral describes it as "tRNA-Trp". It matches the Rfam family "tRNA". From Rfam's summary of the family: Transfer RNA (tRNA) molecules are approximately 80 nucleotides in length. Their secondary structure includes four short double-helical elements and three loops (D, anti-codon, and T loops). Lineage: Eukaryota; Metazoa; Arthropoda; Malacostraca; Stomatopoda; Squillidae. The record is from RNAcentral.
AAGAUCUUAAGUUAAAUAAACUAGAAGACUUCAAACCUUCCAAUAUGAGUUUAAUCUCUUAGGUCUUA